CGUCCACAACCAGCUUCAAGAUGCUUUGUGGUAACCGUCUGCCCUUUGUCUUUUCCUUUGGCUACAAUAUUGAUGUCUAUCUCGAAAUCAUACAGCCACCCAGCAGAAAAAAACAUUCUAGGAGUAAAUCAUUAACAUAUCUGUCAAACAAUGACGACCCAAACAUGAAACCUUAGACAGUAGCGAUGGAUUUAAUUGGAGUGGGAUAAAAGACUACGCUUGUUCACAAGGCUGCGACCACAGCGCGAUUGAGCAUAAUACGAUAACUAAGCCAAGGGAUCAAAACAAGUAGACUGCAUGCCGUGAUCUUUCAUUUCAGAUUGGGACUCUAAUUAACAGGAAUAAAAAAUCUAACACCAGGUUAAGGGAAAGAGUCUGAAUUGCCUCUAUCACUGGGUGAGAUGAGAUUCUCGUCUCCAUGCUCGUAGAGUAAUACCACGUACCACCAAAAUGAAGAGAUGAAGAAAAGUUCAUCGUUGAGAGAUAUUCUUUCAGGCAAUUUAACAAACAGGUAGAAGGCAAGCAGUUUCAAGUUGCUGACCAUUUCAUAGUAGCAGAGGUUCACAAGGAGAACAGGAAAAACAAGGUCAAAAUCCUAAACAUCAAGAAAUGAAACUAAUAAGAACCUAUAGCGACUUCAUUUCUUCACCCAUCGCAUCACUGGGUGGUGGUAAGCUGUCUAGAAUGGUGGAAUCUCCAGGGACGGUAUCUUCAGGGUGUUGCUGUUGUUGUUGUGGGGGAAGCUGAUUAGGGGGAGACUGUUGUUCGGCGUUCAUGAUCUGCUCCAUGUCUCUAAGCCUCGUCCUCACCACAGUUGUAACCAGUACUGUAAAUUCAAAAACAAAAAGAAAACUUAGCAAGAAAUAGGAGUUUCCCCAAGCAUUUCGUGCAGAAAUCAGGAAAAGAAAAUUUGGAGGGGUAGAAAUUGGGAAAGCACCUGCUGCAGUGCCAAGGGUCCAAAACCAUAGAAUCUUGAGGCCAGGGCUCGUCUCUCUCGGCAUCUUAUGGUACACUUCUUCUUCGUCUUCUUCUAAUCGUGAGAGACAAAGUUCUCCUCCAAGAAAGUAAUAAUAGUAAUAACAAUAAAGCAGUUCCGGCGGCGGGAUGGAAACUCCGGCGGCUACUGCCGACUGAUGGGUAAUGAGAGUGAAGGCUUGGGCCUAACCAUCGAGGUAGAUGGACCUGAUUCGGCAUGCCUCUGGGCCAUAAUAAAACCAGGGUCGUUUCAGCCAUACGUCAUUUUAUCAAAACUCUAAACCG
This 1260-nucleotide long non-coding RNA is filed under the name Linum usitatissimum (flax). RNAcentral's name for it is "long non-coding RNA (LUSI_LNC006322)". The record is from RNAcentral. Lineage: Eukaryota; Viridiplantae; Streptophyta; Magnoliopsida; Malpighiales; Linaceae.